UUUUUAUUAUUGUUAUAAUUCACUGUUUAAUGUAAUGCUUUAAGUAGGAAUACAAGUCAGCAGAAGUACAUAUACAUAUAUUGCAUGUAAUUUCAGUUGUGUCUUCAAGAUAUUUCAAACCCUCACCGUCUCAGUCCUUCAUCAGUUGUUUUGGUGAAACACCUUCCUUCGAUCUGCAUAACAUACAUAAAUGUUGCUGAAUAACACAGAUGUUUUUCUUCCAAAUAAAGCACAACAUUGCAUCCAUAUUCCCAGUUAAUAAACUUUAUCAAACUUUGCUUUCACUGUAUGAAUGUUGUGUAUAAUAUGUGCAUAUCUAUACAGCAUAUAUAAAUAUAUAUCUAUAAUGUAUAUAUAAUCAAGUGGGUCAGUUUUACACAGCUAACCAUAAACUUGUGCUUAUCUUCUUUAUAUGAGAUCAAAUGUACAGCAUCAAAAUUUGACUAGUCCCCAACUUGUAAAAUCCUCAGUUCCCAGUUUUACCAUACAAUUUUAGAUAUGACAUACAUGUAAUGCAUUCCCUUCUUUCUUGCAGUAGUAUUUUCUUUUGAAAAAAGGAAUUCAGUUGGGUUUUUGUAUAAAUGAAUAACAGGUUUUCCAUACCCUUAAGUUAAAAAAAGUCUCAGGAAGAGAUUAAGUUCUUCCUUGUAUACAGAGCUUGAAGAGUAAUUGGACAUUCGUCAUAGAUAUAUUUACAUUGUAACUUUAUCUGGAUAGUAUUACACAUAAUAUAUUAUUUGUUUAUACAGUCAAGUUAAUGGUGUUUGUCAUGUUAAAACACACUAUCUAGAGGUAUUUACAAACUGGUAGUUUCUAACUUACCAACCAAGUCUGCAAAGUGGCACCAGAAUUAAGGGAUAAGAUAGAAGAAGGUCUGUUUAUCAGCAACCAUGGCACUCUCACCAGUGUCUUUAUUAUUAUUACUACCACUUCUACCAUGAUGUGCUUCAGAGAAAGGUUGUCUUUGGGGUAGAGGUGAAGAGACAGAGCCUCCAGUGGAGGCAGAAAUUGCCCCAUGCUCCCUACAGCCUACCCGAGCUGGAGAAACAGAGAAGCAAUCUAACUGUGACCUGCCUGUCCCUUUGCUAGUUAGGACAUGACAAGCUUGUCCCCCUGUGCUUUCUUCAGUGUUGUCAGGUGAGUCAGUCCAAACACUAAAAAUCCAGUGAAAUCCUUCCUUCCAAAGGCCACUGAAACACGGACUGUGAUCAUACUGCCUCAACUACCAUCUACAACCACUUCUCACAGUGUGUCAGAGCUCUUUAGGGCAUCUCAAAGAAAACAGUUUCUGUGUGCUUCUACACAAGUACAGUCAAAAAGAAACAAAAAUAAAAAAAGAAAAAAGAAACUCACUAUAGAAAGAUGAAAAAGAGUUGUUACCUAAUGGCACUUCUCAGGUUAUGCAGAGCUUUGGAAGGCAAAAAGACACCAGAAUUUGUUUCCCUUUAUUUUGUUAAUACCAGAAUGAAAUGUGUAUAAAAAAAUCUAAGCAGUAUUCUGAAAGAUGAGGUUUGGGGGAAUUGAUAAGCUUGUGUAACCCACGGGUUCCACAAUAUAGCCAAAGAGGCCAUAGCAAAAGGAGGGAAGCAAAAAUACAGGAGAAAGAAUUGAACUGAUUGCUGUAAAUGUUUCAUGUCCAACUCAACCUUGUUAUAAUUACAUUCUUAGGCUUCAUUUCUCAGUGAAUACUCUGCUAGCAAGCACAAGAAUGAAAAGGGAUUUGGGGGAACAGAGGGCUGCCUUAGCAUUGCACAUGGCAUAAAAUUAAUCCAUGCACGUUGCGGCAUGAUAUUCUGCUACGAGAAUAUUCAGUCUUUGUCACUAUCCUCCAUUAUUUCUAAUAUGGAGGUCACAAAACUGGGAAAGAAGAGAAUUGAUUUGGCUUUGUUUCACACAAGGGUUGGGGGUUUUUUUACAUCCAAUUUAAAGCCCAUGCAGAAAGGAUUUAUGGAACAUCUCACUCCACACAGCAGCUUGGGCUUCAGUGGAGGGGGAUUUGCAUGCUAGAGGGGGCAGUAUUUUGGUGGGGUUAAAGAGUUUGAAUACCCACAUUCACAGUGCCUGAAAUGGAAGAGAAACUGCACACCUGCAGCUGAAACACACAUGGCAUACUUGUUAAAGGGGGGAAAGUAGAAAGCUUUUUGUCAAGACUGUGACAAAAGAAGAAAGGCAGAGAAAUGGGAAAAGAAGCCACAGCAAAUUAAGGACCAUCCCUCAGCUUCCUUCAGGGAAAGAUUUUCUAUAAAUUAAAACAAACAAACAAAAAAGUUUCUUAAAAGUCUAGGGCUUUUCAUGAUGUACAAGAACAAUAAAAGCGAUAAUGCAUAGGAAUCAUACCCCUAGCAAGUGCCUCCAGACAUGUUAUAUAAAACAUCUGUAGACCCAGGGGUGAAAAAAAAGCUGCUUUUUAGCUUCUCAAUUUCUACAACUUGCAAUUCUGUCAGCUGAGAGUACAGAGCCAUCUAGGAGGGGACCUUUAAAAAUAUCAAAGGUAUUAGACAGUUAGCCCACUAACUGUCAGCAAACACCCCCCACCGAGGACCAGAUUUUCUUUUCCUGAUGUUCCUUUCCUACAACUGUAGC
This 2583-nucleotide long non-coding RNA is filed under the name Strigops habroptila (Kakapo). Its description in RNAcentral is "lncRNA (ENSSHBG00005010363.1)". Lineage: Eukaryota; Metazoa; Chordata; Aves; Psittaciformes; Psittacidae. The record is from RNAcentral.